GCGGUAAUUCCAGCUCUGUAAGCGUAUACCAAAGUUGUUGCAGUUAAAACGCUCGUAGUCGGAUUUUGGCGUGGUACUGCUGAAGUCCCUGAUUGGGUUCUGAGGUUAGUCCCGCCUUUGUGGAUGGGGGCGUGGUGGUGCUUAACUGUAUUGCCACGUUUUCGCCACUGUUUACUGUGAAAAAAUUAGAGUGUUCAAAGCGAGCGAUUGCCAUGAAUACAUUAGCAUGGAAUAAUAGAAUAGGACCUGAUCCUGUUUUGUUGGUUUGUCGGUAUUAGGUAAUGAUUAAGAGGGACGGUCGGGGGCAUUUGUAUUCCAGGGUUAGAGGUGAAAUUCUCGGAUU
RNAcentral lists this ribosomal RNA (343 nucleotides) under uncultured rhodophyte. Its description in RNAcentral is "SSU rRNA". It matches the Rfam family "Eukaryotic small subunit ribosomal RNA", at positions 576 to 926 of the family's 1831-position model. Lineage: Eukaryota; Rhodophyta. The record is from RNAcentral.